GAAGCAGACUCUACCACAGCACUUCUCUGGUUUUCAUUCUUAACUUGAUUCAUUUUUACAUAAGCAGUUCUCUUCUGACUGUUGAACAGACCUGAGCCGCCUCUGAGCGUAGACAUCAACGCUGUUUAAGGCAGAGAUCUCGCCGAGGGAUAAGGGAACUGCCUUUAGCCGCCUAUUACACAUCUGCCGAGCCCCGUUCACUAACCCUUAGAAUGUCAUCGUGAGUCCGGCCGUUAGGAAUUAAUGCUUUCGGUUUUGAUUUCUAGUCUACCUCAGGACAUAGGAGCCGGAGAACGCAAACCUCCCGGCUCAGAAGAUGGCGGCGGAGCACAAGAUUGGCAGGAGGGACGUCCCGUCCCGCGCGAGCGACCGCCGGCGCCUUUGUGUGUCCGUUUCGCAGGAAAUGGCUUCCGAGUAUGUGAGGAGAUCGGCUUGGCUGUAGCGUGGUCGUGAGUUCCGUGUGUGUACAGACGUUUAUGGGACUAGGCUGCUAGUAUGAGAAAAGACGAAAGCUUUUUAUUAGCCCCGGUAGCUCUCAGUAGUAACAGACCGUUUUCCAGCGAGCGGUUACAGACUUGGGGUAAGUGUGGAUAUGUGUUUGGCGGGAGUUUAUACACAAGAAAGCCCCUACUUGGCUCAUGUCUUGUUCUGAGUUCGUUCACAGUGAGGAUAAUAUUGUAGAGGUGCGGGAAAGUUGUGUGCUUCCCAUUUAUUGUAUAAUCUUCAGUAAAUUUUAAGUAAUGUCUUAUCCCUGUAAACUGGGUGUUGUGAUGCGCUUUGGUGUAAACCAGCAAUUUUCAUGAAGUGACUUAGUGUGGUGUGCUAGUGGUGUAGCUGUAGUUUCUCUCUUAAAGGCUUAAAAUCUGAAAUUUUGGGCAAUUUUAUCUGCUGAAGCAGACAAAAGCCACUUCCACGUGUGGUGAAAUUAGACUCAUAAUAGAUAACUUCCAGCUCAGUGGAUUUUAAAGCAUUUACAAAACUUUUUUUUUUUUUUUUUUUGUGCUGCUAGAGAUACAGCAGUGAAAUCACAGUACUCUGGGAUAGCACACUUGUGCAAAGAGUUACCCUGUCUUUGGAACUGCAGGGAAAACAGGGGCAGAAAGUAAUCACCUACACUAGAAUUUGAUCAUGUGCUAAGUGACUGUUCUUUGUUCUGAAAAAAAAUAGCUGAAUUCUUACUGAAAUUGUGUGGUUAGGCUGUCACUUUGAUAUUAAUCAUUGAAGGGUAUCGCACUAUCCCUGCUGUUAAGAUGUAGCAUUGGAUAGGUGAUGAUUCAGAAGAUAACCAGAUACCUACCGUGAAUCAAUAUGUACACUUUCUCCUUGGAUCUGUUCCAUAUAAACAUGUUAAAGACUUGUAAAGUCUAAUAGAAGAGGUUUAAGCAGAUGGUAUAGCUGCAGGCUUAUGAAAGAUUUUUUUGGUUGGUUGGUUAGGUUUUUUUGGUUUUGUUUUUCCCCAAAACCAUAAAAUGGUUUGGGUUAGAAAGGAUCUUAAGAUCAUCUAGUUCCAACCUCCUGCCAUGGGCAGGGACACCUCACACUAGACCGUGUCACCCAGUGCUCUGUCCAACCUGGCACUGGAACACUGCCAGGGAUGGAGCAUUUACACUUCUUUGGGCAACCUGAAUAAAUGGUUGAGUGAAUGAUGUACCAGUUUAACACAGCCACUACUUAAGCGACCAAUAUACUCUCUUGUUCACUUCUCCACUUAUUCCUUAAUUUAUCAAAAUUUUAUAUGCUUAUUAUACAGUUUCCAUAUUUUUGUAGGCAGUGUUUAUGAGUUGUAUGCAAGUGUUUUCAUUCUUUCCCGGUUUCAAAGCUAAAGUACAACAUUGUCUUCAUUGGUAAGUUCUCAUGUAAACUGAAACUGUAAACAAAUAUAAUGUAAAACAUAGAGCAUACCAGUAAAGUUAGAUGUGAUUGGGAAGAGAUGGUCCUAUAUGUUUCAAUUUAGAGAGUGUUUCUUAUAAAUCUCUGGUUUGGACAUGUUAAUCUUGAUAUGCUUUCAUAACAGGUUUGAUCUAUUUGAUUUUGUAGAUUCUCCUAGUUAUAGAAAACAAAAAAAAUUUUAAUAAUUUAUGCCUCUUAAAAUAUGAACUUUUAUGCUGUAUGUCUCAAAAUCAGACUUGGUAUGGUCAGGGUGAGUGCAUUCCAUAUGUAUAUAUAAACGGCAUCACUAGUUUUUCUUGUUAUGUGUUGGUGUUGCUUUCAUUAUUAUUAAAAGGCUAAGACACUAAGGGAA
Molecule: long non-coding RNA, 2242 nt
Organism: Strigops habroptila (Kakapo)
Lineage: Eukaryota; Metazoa; Chordata; Aves; Psittaciformes; Psittacidae
Exons: 3
Source: RefSeq, a predicted model, not a curated record